GGGACACUCGUUCAGAAUUGUACCACGACCGUGUCCGCAAGGCUAGGUCGUGGUGUGGAGUUGCUGAAGUCCUUAUGCCGGACGAGUGGGCAAAGGGAGAUGCCAAAGUCCAUAAAAUGAUUAAUUUAAAUCACAGUAAAAAAUCUUAAGACCCGAUGGCAUUCCUGUCGGGAUCAAUUCCGGCGCGAAGAAACUGCCCGUAAAGGCAAAAGUGGCGAUAGCGGUGAAAAAAAAAAAGCCCUAUCUAUACACACAACAACUACUAUUUUUGAAGACUAUCUUUGAGAUGAGACAGACCAUCGACAGCCUCGAGGAUGAGCCCGCAGCAAGCCAACAGUCUGCAAAAAGCACUCUAGUGAUGUCACCACAGGAGCCCUCCUCUCCAGCUCUCACUACACCAAUGGCUAUGACACCACCACUAGAGAGCAGAACACCCGAGGUCACACAUCCACAGGCAGACAUAACUACAAGGGAUUCAAAACGUAAAAGGAAUCCUCCUCAGCCUGUUUCCGGUUCCAGUACUCGAGACCUGAUUGAUUGUCAGGUUCUUGAGUAUUUAUUCCGAAACAAGCCAGAAACUCCAGAGGACACCUUCCCUCCCUUUUUCUUGAUUCUCCAUUUGAUAAGUGCUAGAAAAUUGGUCUCUGGAAUA
Long non-coding RNA from Bufo gargarizans (Asiatic toad), 652 nucleotides. RefSeq lists it as uncharacterized. The record is from RefSeq and is a predicted model, not a curated record. Lineage: Eukaryota; Metazoa; Chordata; Amphibia; Anura; Bufonidae. The transcript has 3 exons.